GAACUGUGCAAACGUUAUUCGGAAUCACUGGGGCUUAAAGGGGUGCGUAGGCGGCAGUGUAGGUCAGAUGUGAAAGCCCACGGCUCAACCGUGGGAAUUGCGUUUGAAACCACACAGCUUGAGGGAGAUAGAGGAGAGCGGAACUGUUGGUGGAGCGGUGAAAUGCGUUGAUAUCAACAGGAACACCGGUGGCGAAAGCGGCUCUCUGGAUCUCUUCUGACGCUGAGGCACGAAAGCUAGGGGAGCGAACGGGAUUAGAUACCCCGGUAGUCCUAGCUGUAAACGAUCAGCACUAGUCCGUGGGGACUUCCACAUCCUCUCGGACGUAGCGAAAGUGUUAAGUGCUGCGCCUGGGGAGUAUGGUCGCAAAGGCUGA
RNAcentral lists this ribosomal RNA (376 nucleotides) under uncultured organism. RNAcentral describes it as "partial 16S ribosomal RNA". It matches the Rfam family "Bacterial small subunit ribosomal RNA", at positions 527 to 897 of the family's 1533-position model. The record is from RNAcentral.